GUGAGAAGGACCAGGCUUCUCAUGGCAAACACAGCAUUUGCUCAGUCAUUUCAAAUCACUGCAGACCUGCAGAAUUCUCCAUCAUCUUGUCACCUUGCAGGACUUGCUGUGAAUGAAGGAAAGCCUGGACCCCAGCGGAUCAGUAAGGUUGUCCUCAUUUCCUCUACAGGAUUUUCUGAGACUUUUCUUCUCAGCAAGCAUUACUCGUGAGACUAAAAAGCUCUUUUCUGCCCUACUAAUUCAUCCAUGUUCAAAGCUUGCAAAGGUAAAAGUACUGACUCGA
RNAcentral lists this long non-coding RNA (283 nucleotides) under Chrysolophus pictus (golden pheasant). RNAcentral's name for it is "lncRNA (ENSCPIG00010008330.1)". Lineage: Eukaryota; Metazoa; Chordata; Aves; Galliformes; Phasianidae. The record is from RNAcentral.